RNAcentral lists this transfer RNA (69 nucleotides) under Pseudomyrmex concolor. RNAcentral describes it as "tRNA-Ala". Lineage: Eukaryota; Metazoa; Arthropoda; Insecta; Hymenoptera; Formicidae. The record is from RNAcentral.
UAGGUAUUAGUUAAAUAAAUAAUAACUCUUAAAUUGCAAUUAAAAAUUGAUUUUAAUAAAAUCAUACCU